This 498-nucleotide ribosomal RNA is filed under the name uncultured bacterium. Its description in RNAcentral is "partial 16S ribosomal RNA". It matches the Rfam family "Bacterial small subunit ribosomal RNA", at positions 30 to 523 of the family's 1533-position model. The record is from RNAcentral.
AUUGAACGCUGGCGGCAUGCCUUACACAUGCAAGUCGAACGGUAACAGGUCUUCGGAUGCUGACGAGUGGCGAACGGGUGAGUAAUACAUCGGAACGUGCCUAGUAGUGGGGGAUAACUACUCGAAAGAGUGGCUAAUACCGCAUGGGAUCUACGGAUGAAAGCAGGGGAUCGCAAGACCUUGUGCUACUAGAGCGGCCGAUGGCAGAUUAGGUAGUUGGUGGGAUAAAAGCUUACCAAGCCGACGAUCUGUAGCUGGUCUGAGAGGACGAUCAGCCACACUGGGACUGAGACACGGCCCAGACUCCUACGGGAGGCAGCAGUGGGGAAUUUUGGAAAAUGGGCGAAAGCCUGAUCCAGCAAUGCCGCGUGCAGGAUGAAGGCCUUCGGGUUGUAAACUGCUUUUGUACGGAACGAAAAGCCCUGGGUUAAUACCCUGGGGUCAUGACGGUACCGUAAGAGUAAGCACCGGCUAACUACGUGCCAGCCGCCGCCGUAA